CCAUUAGAAAUGGUGGGUAAUACUGUAUAAUCCCCGAGGGGGAAAGAUUUAUCGCUAUUAGAUGAGCCUACGUUAGAUUAGCUAGUUGGUGAGGUAAUGGCUUACCAAGGCUAUGAUCUAUAGCUGGUCUGAGAGGACGAUCAGCCACACUGGAACUGAGAUACGGUCCAGACUCCUACGGGAGGCAGCAGUGGGGAAUAUUGGACAAUGGGCGAAAGCCUGAUCCAGCUAUGCCGCGUGAGUGAAGAAGGCCUUCGGGUUGUAAAACUCUUUCAAUAGGGAAGAUAAUGACGGUACCUAUAAAAGAAGUCCCGGCAAACUUUGUGCCAGCAGCCGCGG
RNAcentral lists this ribosomal RNA (339 nucleotides) under uncultured Ehrlichia sp. RNAcentral's name for it is "bacterial SSU rRNA". It matches the Rfam family "Bacterial small subunit ribosomal RNA", at positions 147 to 520 of the family's 1533-position model. Lineage: Bacteria; Pseudomonadati; Pseudomonadota; Alphaproteobacteria; Rickettsiales; Anaplasmataceae. The record is from RNAcentral.